This 392-nucleotide ribosomal RNA is filed under the name uncultured bacterium. Its description in RNAcentral is "bacterial SSU rRNA". It matches the Rfam family "Bacterial small subunit ribosomal RNA", at positions 29 to 450 of the family's 1533-position model. The record is from RNAcentral.
AACGAACGCUGGCGGCAGGCUUAACACAUGCAAGUCGAGCGCCCCGCAAGGGGAGCGGCAGACGGGUGAGUAACGCGUGGGAAUCUACCCAGCUCUACGGAAUAACCCAGGGAAACUUGGACUAAUACCGUAUACGUCCUCCGGGAGAAAGAUUUAUCGGAGUUGGAUGAGCCCGCGUUGGAUUAGCUAGUUGGUGGGGUAAUGGCCUACCAAGGCGACGAUCCAUAGCUGGUCUGAGAGGAUGAUCAGCCACAUUGGGACUGAGACACGGCCCAAACUCCUACGGGAGGCAGCAGUGGGGAAUAUUGGACAAUGGGCGAAAGCCUGAUCCAGCCAUGCCGCGUGAGUGAUGAAGGCCCUAGGGUUGUAAAGCUCUUUCAACGGUGAAGAUA